AAGGAAAUGUUCUGUUCGAUUAAGUAAUCUGUGUCGAGUAAUCUGAAAGUCUUUUCUCUCCUCUUUAUCUUUUGGCGGGUCAGCCUUAUUAGUCUUGACUGAAUCUCAUUUCAACUGAGCAACUGGCAAAAGCACGUCACGUUAUCGCCGCCUUUUAGCCAUUUAACAAAAGAUUCCUUGAAAGCAUCUAUCGUUAACGACACCACAAUGGCCGCCAUGCUUUUGUCUUUUAACUCUCUUGGGAAUGCUUGCAACCCAUCAUUAUCUGAAGGGUUAGGGUUAGGGGAGUGAUAUUUUGCAUCCACUCUAUAAACCAUCUUACUAACAAAAGCUCUAGUUAAUAGCUGUCUUGGUAAAUCCAUAAAGAAUUGCCAAAGGUGUUGCCAGACAACGGGGCAUCCCCAGCCAUUACCAGCAUUGUAUAUAAAGACUACCGCGAUAGAAUCUCAGGUCUAGUGUGAAUCGAAUCAGUUAAUAUCAUUAGUYGUUUAGAGUAGUUUGGAUCUGUUGAUAAUGAAUUUCUCAAGUCACGCCUUGCUGUUUGGGUGUCUUCUAAUAUCGUUAGGAUUAGUUCAAGUCACACAAGCUGUAGUGGGACCUUACAGUCGUGAUACCGAAAUCUCGACACGAUUCGUUCAGGGAAUGAAAGAUUAUUGUGGGCGAGCAGAAAUCUUGUGCCAAGAUGAACCGACGCAUGCGACGAAUCUAAGAACUAUCCGACAAAAGAUUGUCGAAAGAAAGAAGCAUGCAUAAGAUGUGUCAACCGGAGCCUUUGUUCUCAGAGGCUUUUCAGGCAGUGUAAAUGGUUAAAGCUUCUUAUUUAGCUAGGAGUUGAUCGAAACAUAARCUUAAAAGUUCUAUCCAGCAAUUUGAAAAGAUUUUGUACGCAACAUGCAGUAACGAAAAAAUAAAUAAAGCAGCUCUAUAAAAUGAA
This is a long non-coding RNA of Actinia tenebrosa (Australian red waratah sea anemone), 934 nucleotides long. RefSeq lists it as uncharacterized. The record is from RefSeq and is a predicted model, not a curated record. Lineage: Eukaryota; Metazoa; Cnidaria; Anthozoa; Actiniaria; Actiniidae.